RNAcentral lists this ribosomal RNA (475 nucleotides) under uncultured bacterium. RNAcentral describes it as "bacterial SSU rRNA". It matches the Rfam family "Bacterial small subunit ribosomal RNA", at positions 46 to 518 of the family's 1533-position model. The record is from RNAcentral.
GCCUAACACAUGCAAGUCGAACGAAGCAUACGGACUGGAGAUUCGUCGAAGGACUGUAUGACUUAGUGGCGGACGGGUGAGUAAUGUAUGAGCAACCUGCCUUUCAGAGGGGGACAACAGUUGGAAACGACUGCUAAUACCGCGUAACGUAUCGUGAGGGCAUCCUCGUGAUACCAAAGGAGCAAUCCGCUGAAAGAUGGGCUCAUAUCUGAUUAGCUUGUUGGCGGGGUAACGGCCCACCAAGGCGACGAUCAGUAGCCGGACUGAGAGGUUGAACGGCCACAUUGGGACUGAGAUACGGCCCAGACUCCUACGGGAGGCAGCAGUGGGGAAUAUUGGGCAAUGGGCGAAAGCCUGACCCAGCAACGCCGCGUGAAGGAAGAAGGUCUUCGGAUUGUAAACUUCUUUUAUGAGGGACGAAGGACGUGACGGUACCUCAUGAAUAAGCCACGGCUAACUACGUGCCAGCCGCCGC